CGAGCGAACAGAUAAGGAGCUUGCUCCUUUGACGUUAGCGGCGGACGGGUGAGUAACACGUGGGUAACCUACCUAUAAGACUGGGAUAACUUCGGGAAACCGGAGCUAAUACCGGAUAACAUUUGGAACCGCAUGGUUCUAAAGUGAAAGAUGGUUUUGCUAUCACUUAUAGAUGGACCCGCGCCGUAUUAGCUAGUUGGUAAGGUAACGGCUUACCAAGGCGACGAUACGUAGCCGACCUGAGAGGGUGAUCGGCCACACUGGAACUGAGACACGGUCCAGACUCCUACGGGAGGCAGCAGUAGGGAAUCUUCCGCAAUGGGCGAAAGCCUGACGGAGCAACGCCGCGUGAGUGAUGAAGGGUUUCGGCUCGUAAAACUCUGUUAUUAGGGAAGAACAAACGUGUAAGUAACUGUGCACGUCUUGACGGUACCUAAUCAGAAAGCCACGGCUAACUACGUGCCAGCAGCCGCGGUAAUACGUAGGUGGCAAGCGUUAUCCGGAAUUAUUGGGCGUAAAGCGCGCGUAGGCGGUUUCUUAAGUCUGAUGUGAAAGCCCACGGCUCAACCGUGGAGGGUCAUUGGAAACUGGGAAACUUGAGUGCAGAAGAGGAAAGUGGAAUUCCAUGUGUAGCGGUGAAAUGCGCAGAGAUAUGGAGGAACACCAGUGGCGAAGGCGACUUUCUGGUCUGUAACUGACGCUGAUGUGCGAAAGCGUGGGGAUCAAACAGGAUUAGAUACCCUGGUAGUCCACGCCGUAAACGAUGAGUGCUAAGUGUUAG
RNAcentral lists this ribosomal RNA (781 nucleotides) under Staphylococcus saprophyticus. RNAcentral describes it as "bacterial SSU rRNA". It matches the Rfam family "Bacterial small subunit ribosomal RNA", at positions 63 to 826 of the family's 1533-position model. The record is from RNAcentral. Lineage: Bacteria; Bacillati; Bacillota; Bacilli; Caryophanales; Staphylococcaceae.